Molecule: unclassified non-coding RNA, 97 nt
Organism: Ursus americanus (American black bear)
Lineage: Eukaryota; Metazoa; Chordata; Mammalia; Carnivora; Ursidae
Source: Ensembl
UUGUAAAUGUGUAGCUCCCUCAGGAUGGAACUAACCUGACCUCUUUAUUUUGCAGCUGAGGCUCACUGCUCCCUGGGUGGGCAGUGAGUUGUGGGUU